GUCACAGGGGGCGCGGCCCCGGCGGUGGAGCACGGGCGGAAAGGCUGUGAGCUGGCCCUGGGCGGAUUUUCCGCGGAGCCGUUUACGCAAGCUAAGCGAGCAGUUCAGACGUGGCAUCUGUCAGCUGAAGGGCAGGUGGUCUGCCGGCCCGUGUGGCCUGGGCCUGCCGGCGUGCCCCGUCUCCGGGCAGGGGCCUGUCCUGAGCAGGCCUGCCUCUGGCGGACUCGUGCUCUUAAGCUCCUGCUACAUCUACUCAGCGAUAAGUCAUCACAUCGUAAGAACCUACUCAGUUACUGCCGGAUGACUGAGGUGAGGCCGUGGGCUCCAGAUGCUGACCGACGCCCGGGACGGGCAGAAAUACAUAUGCGAGCCAGCGUGGACCACUUCCUCGGUGCUUCUGGAAGCCUGGGCGAGAUGAGGACACCCCAGGAACUGCCCAUCUGCCUGUGAAACAAGCUUCACGGGGGGCACCACCUGAACUGAAUCCUGAAAGGCGCCCCAGGAGGGAAGCUCAGAGUCUGGGGAGAGCGGGCCUCACCACAAGGUGGGAAAGCACUGCUCUGAGGCCAGGGUCCCUGGCACAGUGGCUGGCAGCGUGGCCAGGCCCAGUCACGGCGGGCUCCAUGUGCCAGGCCAGGUGCUUCUUCUGGAUGUGUGGGGAGACGUGGCACGGGACGGGCCGCUGUAGGAAGCCCUCUGGCAGCACGUGAGGCGGCCGCCCCACGUGUGCUUUGGUCUCGGCCGGCUGUGGCCAGGCCUUCCUCCACUGCUGCUCUCCUGCAGAGACUGUGGUGCGUGUCACACCCGGUCACUGGCCUGGCGAGACACCAGCGACCACACUGGCUCCACAGUCACAGCGCUCGCCCGGGACACAGGCUUUCUCUGCUCCGACUCUAACCUGAGGCUGAAACCGCUUCGGAACAGGCUGCAGCAAGGCUCUCUGUCCCCAGCGCUGCCCCCAGCUGUGGCUCCCAACUCCAUCCUGGCUGCGGGAAGGGAGGACGCAGGUGAACAGGGGUACUGAGGGUGGAACAAAUUUUUAAAAAGAGCUGUUUGGUAAUGACUGGCUUAAGAGACAAAACAAUCUUUGGCCAUCAAGCACCACACAUCUCCUGGGAACGAUGCGUCGUGCGGAAGGUGAGGGCUGACACCAAGGCAAUGAGGAUCCAGCACCAAAAAAUACAACACAGACGAGUGAGUCCUGCCAGGCGGACAGGAGACCCAACAGGCCUCACUCGGGUACCAGUGCAGGGGGAGCAUCCCUGGAUGUGACCUGUGGGGGGCCACGCGAGGUGCCGGCCCACGCGCAGCCAGUGCUAACCCUCUUUCCGGGCCCCCGGCCCCGGCCCAGCAUUUGUCCUGGACUGCAGUGCACAGGGCCUGUGCGUAGUCUCCCCUCCAGCGCCGGGAACUCUUGGGACGUGGAUUAUUUCUUCCAACUGGCCAUAAGUUAAAAACCAAACCAAACCAAACCAAAAGGAACAGUGAAUUUACCGGGAGGGCUCUGGUCCAGUGCAUUUGGUAAUGAAAGUGAAUGAGACCUAAGAUGGAUAUUUAAAAAGAGAUUAUAAUUCAGUUUAUACAGCUUGACAUGAAUAAACAGACAUUCUUAACAAUGC
Long non-coding RNA from Phocoena sinus (vaquita), 1619 nucleotides. Lineage: Eukaryota; Metazoa; Chordata; Mammalia; Artiodactyla; Phocoenidae. The record is from Ensembl.